CUCCUACGGGGGGCAGCAGUGAGGAAUAUUGGUCAAUGGGCGCGAGCCUGAACCAGCCAAGUCGCGUGAGGGAAGACGGUCCUAUGGAUUGUAAACCUCUUUUGUCGGGGAGCAAAAGACGCCACGCGUGGCGUUCCGAGAGUACCCGAAGACAAAGCAUCGGCUAACUCCGUGCCAGCAGCCGCGGUAAUACGGAGGAUGCGAGCGUUAUCCGGAUUUAUUGGGUUUAAAGGGUGCGCAGACGGAAGAUCAAGUCAGCGGUAAAUUGAAUGG
RNAcentral lists this ribosomal RNA (273 nucleotides) under uncultured bacterium. RNAcentral's name for it is "partial 16S ribosomal RNA". It matches the Rfam family "Bacterial small subunit ribosomal RNA", at positions 336 to 606 of the family's 1533-position model. The record is from RNAcentral.